RNAcentral lists this long non-coding RNA (2034 nucleotides) under Citrus sinensis (sweet orange). RNAcentral describes it as "long non-coding RNA (CSIN_LNC001678)". Lineage: Eukaryota; Viridiplantae; Streptophyta; Magnoliopsida; Sapindales; Rutaceae. The record is from RNAcentral.
GGAUCCAGUAAUAAAGCAAGAUGAAGUAUCAUUGCCAAUGCUGAUUAGAUACAUAAACGUGGCUCUUCUCUGCGUUCAAGAGAAUGCAGCUGAUAGACCAAUCAUGUCGGAUGUUAUCUCGAUGAUUGAGAGUGAGCAUCUUAAUUUACCUUCUCCCAAAGAACCUGCUUUUACAAACAGUAAAAACAUGAAUAAUUCAUCUCAUUCCAGUAGUGGAACGUCCCAGUUUCAUUCUGUGAAUGAUGUAACUGUUUCAUUAAUCUAUCCUCGAUAGUCAUCUAUCUGGGCAGCAUCGAUUAUUUUGCUUCUUUGUUUGAUUUCUCUAUUUUCUCCAGUUUUAAACUUUUCCGGUGGUACUUCUUCCUUCUUUUUACAUAUUUCGACGAAGGAGGAGAAAACACAAAGAGAAAGGUAAAUUUUUUCCCUUCAUAUCACUCGGUGAUAUUUUCAUAUGAUAAGGCAUGUGAUAAAGCAUGUAUAAUUACAAUUUUAAAAGUUGUUAGUCAUACCGAAACAGAGAAUAUGGAAGCAAACUGGGAUCUGUUAGCAUUUGACAUAAAUAUGAGCAUUACAACAAGAACAAAUGAACUCUGUGAAGCAGAUGGAGAAGGAAAUGAUAAGAGCAAGGAUUCUUGGUUGCCAUUAUUCAGCUUGGCCAGUGUAUCUGCUGCUACAGAAAACUUUUCUACGCAAUGUAAGCUUGGAGAAGGUGGCUUUGGCCCUGUUUACAAGGUAGAAUUGUUGCUACCUCAAAUGUCCUUAAUGAAGUGCUGCUGGUGUAAAACAUUAACAAAAUAAAAAAAAAUGCAGGGUCGACUACUUAAUGGACAAGAAGUUGCCGUUAAAAUGAGAUAAUGAUUAUAGCAAAACUCCAUUACAGACACCUUGUCAGACUCUUUGGUUGCUGUAUAGAACAAGGCGAAAACAUUUUAAUCUAUGAGUACAUGCCUAACAAAAGCUUGGAUGUUUUCCUUUUCUGUAUGUGAUUUAUCAUUCACAAGAUUUAAGUAUUUCCACUACUUUCCAGUGCUCUGUCGAAUUUUAUCAUCUCCAUUUUUUUAACUUGUUAUCAUUUACGCUGAUCAGUAUUCAUUUUGGCAUUGCAACAGAUCCAAAGAAAAAGCGCCUGUUAGGUUGGCAAGCACGCGUUAGAAUCAUUGAAGGAAUUGCUCAAGGGCUAUUAUAUCUUCAUCAGUAUUCUAGACUAAGAAUUAUUCACAGAGAUCUUAAAGCAAGUAAUAUUCUCUUAGAUAGUGACAUGAACCCCAAAAUAUCAGAUUUUGGCAUGGCAAGAAUAUCUGGUGAUGAUGAGUUGCAGGGAAAUACUAAACGGAUUGCUGGAACUUAGUAAGUAAAACUCCAUUCCUGAAAAUGAUGUUUGCUUGUCCUGUUUUCUUAGAUCACUCAAUAUUAAUUGAAACAAUGGAAAUUUAGUGGUUACAUGUCACCUGAGUAUGCCCUGGAAGGCCUGUACUCCAUCAAAUCAGACGUGUUUAGUUUUGGAGUAUUAAUGUUGGAAACAUUGAGUAGCAAGAAGAACACUGGCGUCUACAAUAGUGAUUCCUCUAACCUUCUUGGAUAUGUAAGUGACAAAUUAUUUCACUUAUGUUCCAUCUUUAAUGUGUAAAAUAUAAAUUGGAAAUGUCAAAAAUUGCUCCUGUAAAUUAAACUAAUAUUGAUCAUGGACAUUUCUUUUCAGGCUUGGGGUCUAUGGAAAGAUGACAGAGCUCAUGAAUUGAUGGAUCCAGUAAUAAAGCAAGAUGAAGUAUCAUUGCCAAUGCUGAUUAGAUACAUAAACGUGGCUCUUCUCUGCGUUCAAGAGAAUGCAGCUGAUAGACCAAUCAUGUCGGAUGUUAUCUCGAUGAUUGAGAAUGAGCAUCUUAAUUUACCUUCUCCCAAAGAACCUGCUUUUACAAACAGUAAAAACGUGAAUAAUUCAACGUCCCAAUUGUGUUCCGUGAAUGAUGUAACCGUUUCAUUAAUCAAUCCUCGAUAGUCAUCUAUCUGGGCGGCAUCCAUUAUUUUGCUUCUUUG